GCGAGUGGCGAACGGGUGAGUAAUAUAUCGGAACGUGCCCUGGAGUGGGGGAUAACUAGUCGAAAGAUUAGCUAAUACCGCAUACGAUCUACGGAUGAAAGUGGGGGAUCGCAAGACCUCAUGCUCGUGGAGCGGCCGAUAUCUGAUUAGCUAGUUGGUGGGGUAAAAGCCUACCAAGGCGACGAUCAGUAGCUGGUCUGAGAGGACGACCAGCCACACUGGGACUGAGACACGGCCCAGACUCCUACGGGAGGCAGCAGUGGGGAAUUUUGGACAAUGGGGGCAACCCUGAUCCAGCAAUGCCGCGUGAGUGAAGAAGGCYUUCGGGUUGUAAAGCUCUUUUGUCAGGGAAGAAACGGCGGGAUCUAAUACAUUCUGCUAAUGACGGUACCUGAAGAAUAAGCACCGGCUAACUACG
Molecule: ribosomal RNA, 418 nt
Filed under: uncultured bacterium
Lineage: Bacteria
Description: bacterial SSU rRNA
Rfam family: Bacterial small subunit ribosomal RNA
Source: RNAcentral